This 769-nucleotide long non-coding RNA is filed under the name Nicotiana benthamiana. RNAcentral's name for it is "long non-coding RNA (NBEN_LNC037149)". Lineage: Eukaryota; Viridiplantae; Streptophyta; Magnoliopsida; Solanales; Solanaceae. The record is from RNAcentral.
ACUUGGGACUGGACAAGCUAGUGUCAACCAGAAUCCGAGAGAAAUGCUAACUAUAGCCUUUCACAAUCACAGCGAACGAGAGAGUGGCAGUCCAACGCUAGGUGUCCCGAUAUCUCAAAAACAGAGUGAAUAGAAAAUCCGAUAGGGUUCUUUCUGAAUAACUAAUAAGACAAGACAUGAACUUUGGUGUCCCGAAGGCCAAUAUAUUCUCCAAGUUCCCAAAAUUCCAAUAGCUAGACAUAUCAGGUUGAAAGCUAUCACAUAACAAGGGUGCAAAGAUAAAGGGAGGUUUAGAAAAGAUAUAUAUUUCUGUUUACUUAUGGAAUUGAAUGAACAAGUUAACACAUUCCCUAAGAAACAUCCACUUUCCUAUGAAAUUAGAUUCUAAAUACACCACCACCAACAACCCAGUAUAAUUCCCCAUGUGGGUUUUGAGAGCGAGAAGCGCAAAAAAAUGACAGGGGCUCGCCUCGCUUCAAAAGCGAAGCACACGCUUCAUUGAAAUGAAGCGCAAUUCUAAAAACAUAAUGUAAACCUUGCAAAGACACAAUAUGAAUAAUCAAAAAGUUCAAUUUAAAAACUUAAAAGUAGGUACCACUACCACCAAUUCCUCCAUAAACCAUAGGACAAGCAAAAUCACAUAAAAAUUAAUAAAUAAACGCUAAAAUAUUAAUCAAAUAAACUGAAAAUAAUAUAUAUAUAUAUAUACACACACACACUUUAUAAACUGAACUACACAUAAAAAUUAAUAAUUAAAGGCUAACAUACU